Molecule: non-coding RNA, 438 nt
Organism: Notechis scutatus (mainland tiger snake)
Lineage: Eukaryota; Metazoa; Chordata; Lepidosauria; Squamata; Elapidae
Source: RefSeq, a predicted model, not a curated record
UUAGGUAAUUAACAGAUGGUUAAGGACAGUUUAUCUCUGCAAUGACCUUUGAGGUAGACUGCCAUAGAAAUUCUGGGAAAUAAAAGGCAUAUUUGUGAGAUCAUGUAAUUAGCAACUUAAGUGUAUACUAUACUUAUAACACUUACUCAUUUAUUGGGCAGUUAGUCUGUGGCACAAAUAUAUGGCUUGGUGAUUCCCCAUCCUUCAUCCCAGCCUCAACCAAAUUUGUUAUGAAGCAGAAUGUGACCAGCAAACAUCAUUCAACAAUAUGUUCCUUCUUAUUUAGUUAGAGUCAGAGAUAUAUGUGAUCAAGAAGGACAUACUGUUUAAUCUUAUAGGCCUACUCUGUGAUUUUGGUUUUUAGUCUUGACUUUCAUAUUAUAAAGAAUGAAGACAUCAUUAUUGUCACUAUAGGAUAGUCAAGUGGCAGUUUACAGG